Molecule: ribosomal RNA, 497 nt
Filed under: uncultured bacterium
Lineage: Bacteria
Description: partial 16S ribosomal RNA
Rfam family: Bacterial small subunit ribosomal RNA
Source: RNAcentral
GACGAACGCUGGCGGCGUGCCUAAUACAUGCAAGUUGAGCGCUGAAGGUUGGUACUUGUACCAACUGGAUGAGCAGCGAACGGGUGAGUAACGCGUGGGGAAUCUGCCUUUGAGCGGGGGACAACAUUUGGAAACGAAUGCUAAUACCGCAUAAAAACUUUAAACACAAGUUUUAAGUUUGAAAGAUGCAAUUGCAUCACUCAAAGAUGAUCCCGCGUUGUAUUAGCUAGUUGGUUAGGUAAAGGCUCACCAAGGCGAUGAUACAUAGCCGACCUGAGAGGGUGGUCGGCCACAAUGGGACUGAGACACGGCCCAAACUCCUACGGGAGGCAGCAGUAAGGAAUCUUCGGCAAUGGGCGAAAGUCUGACCGAGCAAAGCCGCGUGAGUGAAGAAGGUUUUCGGAUCGUAAAACUCUGUUGGUAGAGAAGAAAGUUGGUGAGAGUGGAAAGCUCAUCAAGUGACGGUAACUACCCAGAAAGGGACGGCUAACUACGUG